This 422-nucleotide ribosomal RNA is filed under the name uncultured bacterium. RNAcentral's name for it is "bacterial SSU rRNA". It matches the Rfam family "Bacterial small subunit ribosomal RNA", at positions 355 to 774 of the family's 1533-position model. The record is from RNAcentral.
UAAGGAAUAUUGGACAAUGGAGGCAACUCUGAUCCAGCCAUGCCGCGUGAAGGAAUAAGGCCCUAUGGGUUGUAAACUUCUUUUAGACGGGACAAAACCCCUUUACGUGUAAAGGGUUGAUGGUACUGUCAGAAUAAGCAGCGGCUAACUUCGUGCCAGCAGCCGCGGUAAUACGAAGGAUGCAAGCGUUAUCCGGAAUUAUUGGGUUUAAAGGGUGCGUAGGCGGACUAAUAAGUCAGUGGUGAAAGCCUGCAGCUUAACUGCAGAAUUGCCAUUGAUACUGUUAGUCUUGAGUACAGUUGAGGUAGGCGGAAUGUGUCAUGUAGCGGUGAAAUGCUUAGAUAUGACACAGAACACCGAUUGCGAAGGCAGCUUGCUAAGCUGUAACUGACGCUGAGGCACGAAAGCGUGGGGAGCAAACA